Molecule: ribosomal RNA, 426 nt
Filed under: uncultured bacterium
Lineage: Bacteria
Description: partial 16S ribosomal RNA
Rfam family: Bacterial small subunit ribosomal RNA
Source: RNAcentral
UGGGGAAUUUUGGACAAUGGGGGAAACCCUGAUCCAGCCAUCCCGCGUGUGCGAUGAAGGCCUUCGGGUUGUAAAGCACUUUUGGCAGGAAAGAAACGUCGUGGGUUAAUACCCCGCGAAACUGACGGUACCUGCAGAAUAAGCACCGGCUAACUACGUGCCAGCAGCCGCGGUAAUACGUAGGGUGCAAGCGUUAAUCGGAAUUACUGGGCGUAAAGCGUGCGCAGGCGGUUCGGAAAGAAAGAUGUGAAAUCCCAGAGCUUAACUUUGGAACUGCAUUUUUAACUACCGGGCUAGAGUGUGUCAGAGGGAGGUGGAAUUCCCGUGUAGCAGUGAAAUGCGUAGNUAUGCGGAGGAACACCGAUGGCGAAGGCAGCCUCCUGGGAUAACACUGACGCUCAUGCACGAAAAGCGUGGGGAGCAAAC